Molecule: small nucleolar RNA, 138 nt
Filed under: Catagonus wagneri (Chacoan peccary)
Lineage: Eukaryota; Metazoa; Chordata; Mammalia; Artiodactyla; Tayassuidae
Description: Small nucleolar RNA SNORA42/SNORA80 family (ENSCWAG00000004992.1)
Rfam family: Small nucleolar RNA SNORA42/SNORA80 family
About the family: The members of this family belong to the H/ACA class of snoRNAs that guide the sites of modification of uridines to pseudouridines.
Source: Rfam by way of RNAcentral
GCAUGGUGAUGGAUUUAUGGCGGGUCCUUCUCCGUGGGCCUCUCAUAGUGUACCCAUGCCAGAGUAGACUGCAGCCCCGAACCACUGCUCAGCCUCCUUACCUGUGGGCUGUGAGCACUGAAGGGAGUUGGUACAGUG